Molecule: ribosomal RNA, 118 nt
Filed under: Lepisosteus oculatus (spotted gar)
Lineage: Eukaryota; Metazoa; Chordata; Actinopteri; Semionotiformes; Lepisosteidae
Source: RNAcentral
GCCAGCAGCCAUAUCACCCUGUAACUCACAACUGGCACCCACUGAAGCUAAGCAUGUGUGAGCCUGGUCAAUACCUGAAUGGGAGAACUCUUGGGAAAAACUAAGGUUGCUGCUGGAG